Molecule: ribosomal RNA, 253 nt
Filed under: uncultured bacterium
Lineage: Bacteria
Description: partial 16S ribosomal RNA
Rfam family: Bacterial small subunit ribosomal RNA
Source: RNAcentral
UACAGAGGGUGCAAGCGUUAAUCGGAAUUACUGGGCGUAAAGCGUGCGUAGACGGUUACAUAAGUCGGGUGUGAAAGCCCCGGGCUCAACCUGGGAAUUGCAUUCGAGACUGCGUAGCUAGGGUGCGGAAGAGGGAAGCGGAAUUUCCGGUGUAGCGGUGAAAUGCGCAGAUAUCGGGAGGAACACCAGUAGCGAAGGCGGCUCGCUGGGCCAUUCCUGACGCUGAGACGCGAAAGCUAGGGGAGCGAACAGG